GACGAACGCUGGCGGCGUGCCUAAUACAUGCAAGUAGAACGCACAGUUUAUACCGUAGCUUGCUACACCAUAGACUGUGAGUUGCGAACGGGUGAGUAACGCGUAGGUAACCUGCCUGGUAGCGGGGGAUAACUAUUGGAAACGAUAGCUAAUACCGCAUAAUAUUGAUUAUUGCAUGAUAAUUGAUUGAAAGAUGCUAUUGCAUCACUACCAGAUGGACCUGCGUUGUAUUAGCUAGUAGGUGAGGUAACGGCUCACCUAGGCGACGAUACAUAGCCGACCUGAGAGGGUGAUCCGCCAGACUGAGACGGAGACACGGCCCAGACUCCUACAGGAGGCAGCAGUAGGGAAUCUUCGGCAAUGGACGAAAGUCUGAGCGAGCAACGCCGCGGGAGUGAAGAAGGGUUUCGGAUCGGAAAGCUCGGUUGUAAGAGAAGAAAGGGUGUGAGAGUGGAAAGUUCACACUGUGACGGUAUCUUAACAGAAAGCGACGGCUAACUACGUG
RNAcentral lists this ribosomal RNA (505 nucleotides) under uncultured bacterium. RNAcentral describes it as "partial 16S ribosomal RNA". It matches the Rfam family "Bacterial small subunit ribosomal RNA", at positions 28 to 507 of the family's 1533-position model. The record is from RNAcentral.